AGAGUUUGAUCAUGGCUCAGGACGAACGCUGGCGGCGUGCCUAAUACAUGCAAGUCGAGCGAGCUUGCCUAGAUGAUUUUAGUGCUUGCACUAAAUGAAACUAGAUACAAGCGAGCGGCGGACGGGUGAGUAACACGUGGGUAACCUGCCCAAGAGACUGGGAUAACACCUGGAAACAGAUGCUAAUACCGGAUAACAACACUAGACGCAUGUCUAGAGUUUGAAAGAUGGUUCUGCUAUCACUCUUGGAUGGACCUGCGGUGCAUUAGCUAGUUGGUAAGGUAACGGCUUACCAAGGCAAUGAUGCAUAGCCGAGUUGAGAGACUGAUCGGCCACAUUGGGACUGAGACACGGCCCAAACUCCUACGGGAGGCAGCAGUAGGGAAUCUUCCACAAUGGACGAAAGUCUGAUGGAGCAACGCCGCGUGAGUGAAGAAGGGUUUCGGCUCGUAAAGCUCUGUUGGUAGUGAAGAAAGAUAGAGGUAGUAACUGGCCUUUAUUUGACGGUAAUUACUUAGAAAGUCACGGCUAACUACGUGCCAGCAGCCGCGGUAAUACGUAGGUGGCAAGCGUUGUCCGGAUUUAUUGGGCGUAAAGCGAGUGCAGGCGGUUCAAUAAGUCUGAUGUGAAAGCCUUCGGCUCAACCGGAGAAUUGCAUCAGAAACUGUUGAACUUGAGCGCAGAAGAGGAGAGUGGAACUCCAUGUGUAGCGGUGGAAUGCGUAGAUAUAUGGAAGAACACCAGUGGCGAAGGCGGCUCUCUGGUCUGCAACUGACGCUGAGGCUCGAAAGCAUGGGUAGCGAACAGGAUUAGAUACCCUGGUAGUCCAUGCCGUAAACGAUGAGUGCUAAGUGUUGGGAGGUUUCCGCCUCUCAGUGCUGCAGC
Molecule: ribosomal RNA, 885 nt
Filed under: uncultured bacterium
Lineage: Bacteria
Description: bacterial SSU rRNA
Rfam family: Bacterial small subunit ribosomal RNA
Source: RNAcentral